Molecule: long non-coding RNA, 793 nt
Organism: Eriocheir sinensis (Chinese mitten crab)
Lineage: Eukaryota; Metazoa; Arthropoda; Malacostraca; Decapoda; Varunidae
Exons: 5
Source: RefSeq, a predicted model, not a curated record
GUGGAGGGCAAUAUCCCGCUUCAUUUUGAAAUGCUUCCCACAAACAUCACACUUGAACUCUCUCAGGCCAGAGUGUCUGUACAUGUGCUCAUUGAGAUAAGACGUAGAACGAAACAUCUUGCCACACUCUUGGCAUUCAUGAGGUCUUUCACCAGUGUGUGUAAGGGUGUGUUGGUUGAGGACACUCUUCUGAUAGAACUUUUUGCCACACUCUUGGCAUUCAUGAGGUCUUUCACCAGUGUGUGUAAGGGUGUGUGUCUCAAGGUUAAUCUUCUGAGUGAACUUUUUGCCACACUCUUGGCAUUCAUGAGGUCUUUCACCAGUGUGUGUAAGGGUGUGUCUGCUGAGGUCCCUCUUGUGACUAAACUUUUUGCCACACUCACAGCAUUCAUGAGGUCUUUCACCAGUGUGUGUAAGGGUGUGUCUGUUGAGGACACUCUUCUGAGUGAACUUUUUGCCACACUCACAGCAUUCAUGAGGUCUUUCACCAGUGUGUGUAAGGGUGUGUGUGUUGAGGUCACUCUUCUGAGUGAACUUUUUGCCACACUCAUGGCAUUCAUGAGGUCUUUCACCAGUGUGUGUAAGGGUGUGUGUGUUGAGGACACUCUUCCGAGUGAACUUUUUGCCACACUCUUUGCAUUCAUGAGGUCUUUCACCAGUGUGUGUAAGGGUGUGUGUGUUGAGGUGACUCUUCGUACUGAACUUUUUCCCACACUCAUGGCAUUCAUGAGGUUUUUCACCAGUGUGUGUAAGGGUGUGUGCCUUGAGGGUACUCUUGUUAUUGAACUUUUUC